This is a non-coding RNA of Aedes albopictus (Asian tiger mosquito), 58 nucleotides long. Lineage: Eukaryota; Metazoa; Arthropoda; Insecta; Diptera; Culicidae. The record is from Rfam.
UAGCUUAAUGGUUAAGGCUAUGGAUCGCCAAUCCGGAGACGGCGGGUUCGAUUCCCGU